GGCAGUGUAGUAUAGUGGUAAGAAGUAGGACUCAUAACCUAAAGGUUGUCAGUUCAAUUCCCCACUGCAG
This is a non-coding RNA of Megalops atlanticus (tarpon), 70 nucleotides long. Lineage: Eukaryota; Metazoa; Chordata; Actinopteri; Elopiformes; Megalopidae. The record is from the annotation of a GenBank genome assembly.